This 485-nucleotide ribosomal RNA is filed under the name uncultured bacterium. RNAcentral describes it as "bacterial SSU rRNA". It matches the Rfam family "Bacterial small subunit ribosomal RNA", at positions 29 to 509 of the family's 1533-position model. The record is from RNAcentral.
AUUGAACGCUGGCGGCAUGCCUUACACAUGCAAGUCGAACGGUAACAGGUCUUCGGAUGCUGACGAGUGGCGAACGGGUGAGUAAUACAUCGGAACGUGCCCGAUCGUGGGGGAUAACGGAGCGAAAGCUUUGCUAAUACCGCAUACGAUCUACGGAUGAAAGCAGGGGACCGCAAGGCCUUGCGCGGACGGAGCGGCCGAUGGCAGAUUAGGUAGUUGGUGGGAUAAAAGCUUACCAAGCCGACGAUCUGUAGCUGGUCUGAGAGGACGACCAGCCACACUGGGACUGAGACACGGCCCAGACUCCUACGGGAGGCAGCAGUAGGGAAUCUUCCGCAAUGGGCGCAAGCCUGACGGAGCGACGCCGCGUGAGUGAUGAAGGCCUUCGGGUCGUAAAGCUCUGUUCUUGAGGACGAAUAAGCCAGGGAGUGGAAAGCCCUGGUGAUGACUGUACUCAAGGAGAAAGCUCCGGCUAACUACGUGCC